RNAcentral lists this ribosomal RNA (459 nucleotides) under uncultured bacterium. RNAcentral's name for it is "partial 16S ribosomal RNA". It matches the Rfam family "Bacterial small subunit ribosomal RNA", at positions 338 to 795 of the family's 1533-position model. The record is from RNAcentral.
CCUACGGGAGGCAGCAGUGAGGAAUAUUGGUCAAUGGCCGGAAGGCUGAACCAGCCAAGCCGCGUGAAGGACGAAGGUGCCAAGCAUUGUAAACUUCUUUUGUCAAGGGACAAAAUCAGGCUCGAGAGCCUGACCGAGGGUACUUGAAGAAAAAGCAUCGGCUAACUCCGUGCCAGCAGGCGCGGUAAUACGGAGGAUGCGAGCGUUAUCCGGAUUUAGUGGGUUUAAAGGGUGAGUAGGCGGACGGUUAAGUCAGCGGUAAAAGCCCGGGGCUCAACCCCGGCGAGCCGUUGAAACUGGCUGUCUUGAGAUGUCGAGAGGUAUGCGGAAUGCGCAGUGUAGCGGUGAAAUGCUUAGAUAUUGCGCAGAACUCCGAUUGCGAAGGCAGCAUACCGGCGGCGAUCUGACGCUGAGGCACGAAAGCGUGGGUAUCGAACAGGAUUAGAUACCCUUGUAGUC